CCUACGGGAGGCAGCAGUGGGGAAUCUUGCGCAAUGGGCGAAAGCCUGACGCAGCCAUGCCGCGUGAAUGAUGAAGGUCUUAGGAUUGUAAAAUUCUUUCACCGGGGACGAUAAUGACGGUACCCGGAGAAGAAGCCCCGGCUAACUUCGUGCCAGCAGCCGCGGUAAUACGAAGGGGGCUAGCGUUGCUCGGAAUUACUGGGCGUAAAGGGAGCGUAGGCGGACAUUUAAGUCAGGGGUGAAAUCCCGGGGCUCAACCUCGGAAUUGCCUUUGAUACUGGGUGUCUUGAGUGUGAGAGAGGUAUGUGGAACUCCGAGUGUAGAGGUGAAAUUCGUAGAUAUUCGGAAGAACACCAGUGGCGAAGGCGACAUACUGGCUCAUUACUGACGCUGAGGCUCGAAAGCGUGGGGAGCAAACAGGAUUAGAUACCCUGGUAGUCCACGCCGUAAACGAUGAUUGCUAGUUGUCGGGAUGCAUGCAUUUCGGUGACGCAGCUAACGCAUUAAGCAAUCCGCCUGGGGAGUACGGUCGCAAGAUUAAAACUCAAAGGAAUUGACGG
Molecule: ribosomal RNA, 560 nt
Filed under: uncultured Brevundimonas sp.
Lineage: Bacteria; Pseudomonadati; Pseudomonadota; Alphaproteobacteria; Caulobacterales; Caulobacteraceae
Description: bacterial SSU rRNA
Rfam family: Bacterial small subunit ribosomal RNA
Source: RNAcentral